GGGGGGCCAGAACGACUUCCAAAGAAGAAGUUGUGCCCUCCCUGCACGACUUCACACUGUUCACAUGAACAGUGGUGAAGUCGUGCACCCCAAAAAUGACUUCUGGGCCUGGUAAUCGAUUACAAUGUGGUAAAAUCGUGCCCCCCCUGCACGACUUCAGUUUUCUAGGCAAAAAUGGGCCUGGUAAUCGAUUACAGACCCUUGUAAUCGAUUACCAGGAGGUUUUUAUGUAGUAACAACCCUGGUAAUCGCUUACCA
This 258-nucleotide long non-coding RNA is filed under the name Vigna radiata. RNAcentral's name for it is "long non-coding RNA (VRAD_LNC006002)". Lineage: Eukaryota; Viridiplantae; Streptophyta; Magnoliopsida; Fabales; Fabaceae. The record is from RNAcentral.